AAAAAUUUAUAUUCUAGAUAUCUUGAGUGAGAUGACCUGUAUUGACCUAUAUAUAAAAAAUAUAUUCACUAGAUUUUGCUGUGUAUUUGUUCAUUGACAUAAGCUUGAUUUUGGUCUUAUGCAUCUGUUUUGGUGCCCUCAUCUGGGUACUCGAAUACUCACUUUCCAUCCUUGACUGGUAUGGAAGUCAGAUUGGUUGCUUUUCUUCAUUGGGAUGGGUAAUGGUAACAUAUACAGAUUAAAAUGUUAAUCGAGUGCUUCUACUUUAUGUGAUUUACAUUUCUAAAAAAUUUUAGGUUCAGUCUACCGUGUUUGAAUGGUUACUAGCUUAUAGGUAGACUUCUAUAGAAGUGCUCUGAUCAGUUAUUGGCCUAAAAGACUUUGUAUGGUUCACUUGCAUUUAUAAACGAUUUUUAGAAGGAUUCAUGAACGAAACAGGAGUCCGACCGCGGCCUCCGCCACCCGUACCAGCGCCGGCCUCUACUGGCCUCCUUCCCUCUCUCCGCCUUCUCUCUUUUCCUCUCCAUUCUUCCUCUUCCCCGUCUCCUCUACUGUAUAGGUACGGGCCCGAUGCGGGUCCAUACCAACUUGUCCCGCUAGGCAACCGGUAUGGUGCCCGGUACUGGUUCCGCCGAUGUUGAUUUGUACAUUUACUUCUUUUCAAUGCAUGCUACUACUGGAAGCUUUUAAAAGUAGUUCGUUAAGGAUAUCCUCGGGUUUAUCCAAGCAUCUCAUGUUACUCUUCUUUGUAUCACUGCUUAGUAUUAUAGUACUCAUUCUGCCUGAAUAAAAAUAAUAAAAAGGUUACCUAAAAUCUAUUCUGUAUUUUGAGAGAGACAGUUCUGAAUCAGCUUUUAUAUCAUGCUUUGAUGAUACACUUCUACUGGACAGUAAUAGUCUUAAUUUUUUCUCUCACGUUUAUGCUUGGGAUUUAUGUACAGGAGUCGUUUAAGAUUAUGCAUAUUUAGCUUUUUCUUUAUUUGUGACUAAAAUUAUUGCUACUUGACUUUUCAGGAUUCAAAUUAUAAAAGUAUGUU
Molecule: long non-coding RNA, 1037 nt
Filed under: Phoenix dactylifera (date palm)
Lineage: Eukaryota; Viridiplantae; Streptophyta; Magnoliopsida; Arecales; Arecaceae
Description: long non-coding RNA (PDAC_LNC002534)
Source: RNAcentral